UACGUAGGGUGCGAGCGUUAAUCGGAAUUACUGGGCGUAAAGCGUGCGCAGGCGGUCUUGCAAGACAGUGGUGAAAUCCCCGGGCUCAACCUGGGAACUGCCAUUGUGACUGCAAGGCUGGAGUACGGCAGAGGGGGGUGGAAUUCCGCGUGUAGCAGUGAAAUGCGUAGAUAUGCGGAGGAACACCGAUGGCGAAGGCAGCCCCCUGGGCCUGUACUGACGCUCAUGCACGAAAGCGUGGGGAGCAAACAGGAUUAGAUACCCUGGUAGUCCACGCCCUAAACGAUGUCAACUGGUUGUUGGGGAUUCAUUUCUUCAGUAACGAAGCUAACGCGUGAAGUUGACCGCCUGGGGAGUACGGCCGCAAGGUUAAAACUCAAAG
Molecule: ribosomal RNA, 382 nt
Filed under: uncultured bacterium
Lineage: Bacteria
Description: bacterial SSU rRNA
Rfam family: Bacterial small subunit ribosomal RNA
Source: RNAcentral